AGUGUGAUUGGAGUAGCAGAAGAGACUAGAAGAUGGGGAUGAAGAAGGAAUCGGGUGAGAGCAAAGGAAGGCCGUGAAGCCAUUGUCAGAAAUUUGUCCUUUAUCCUGACUGAGCAGAAGAAACACUGAAGGAUUUUGAGCAGAGGCAUGUCUUGAUUUCAUUUCAUUUUUAGAGGUAUAGAUAAUUCAGGCUGCUAUUUUGAGACUCGACUGAGAAGAGGUGUGUACUGGUUUCUGACAACUUCUGAAGAUUGCGCCAUUGGACUAGAGAGAAAACUUCCAGGACUCUCAUUGAAGAGGCACCCGUUUCCUACAGAUGUGUCCCUCCACUCUUUGAAGCCGAGGGCAAAAUCAUGCUGAAGACCUAGAAAUCCCACCAGUCUGAAGACCAGCUGCAACCACAAUGGGUUAGCCCUUUUCAGGUGCUGCUGACCAUUCAUACUAAUCUGUCAAGUUAGCUGGUGUUAAGCCAUGGAUUCUUCAUACUUAGAGAAAACCAGUCCCUUUGGGAUCCCUCCAAGGAAAACAGUGAUUUUCUUGUGAACCCUCGGACCGGCUUAAGUUAACAUUCAAAGUCCAGUCAAGGCCCUAGAUAAGACUUCAGAAAGGGAACAUGCACUUUUCAGGUUAUUCUUCUCUCCCAAACCCUGGUUCUUUGCAUGCAAGAUAUAAUGAAUUAGGAAGACUUUUUCAUAGGCUUAGGAUUGUUCUCUUGGAUUCCCCAGGAGAUCUGUUCCAUAUUCUUUGGUAUUUUAAAAUUUGGUCUAUCUAUCUUAUUAAUCAUCCAAUCUCAAUGUGGCUUAAAAUGUUCUUCUGAAACCAAAUAAAGGUACAAAGACCAUGGUGCUCCAACAAGCUGGAUGGCAGCCAGGUACUCAUGAGUACUGACAAUUAUAGGUGUGAAAUUUUCAUUUCUCAUCAUUAUU
RNAcentral lists this long non-coding RNA (926 nucleotides) under Homo sapiens (human). RNAcentral's name for it is "HSALNT0369569". The record is from RNAcentral. Lineage: Eukaryota; Metazoa; Chordata; Mammalia; Primates; Hominidae.